This 474-nucleotide ribosomal RNA is filed under the name uncultured Staphylococcus sp. Its description in RNAcentral is "bacterial SSU rRNA". It matches the Rfam family "Bacterial small subunit ribosomal RNA", at positions 21 to 478 of the family's 1533-position model. Lineage: Bacteria; Bacillati; Bacillota; Bacilli; Caryophanales; Staphylococcaceae. The record is from RNAcentral.
GGCUCAGGAUGAACGCUGGCGGCGUGCCUAAUACAUGCAAGUCGAGCGAACAGAUAAGGAGCUUGCUCCUUUGACGUUAGCGGCGGACGGGUGAGUAACACGUGGGUAACCUACCUAUAAGACUGGAAUAACUCCGGGAAACCGGGGCUAAUGCCGGAUAACAUGUUGAACCGCAUGGUUCUACAGUGAAAGACGGUCUUGCUGUCACUUAUAGAUGGACCCGCGCCGUAUUAGCUAGUUGGUGGGGUAACGGCCUACCAAGGCGACGAUACGUAGCCGACCUGAGAGGGUGAUCGGCCACACUGGAACUGAGACACGGUCCAGACUCCUACGGGAGGCAGCAGUAGGGAAUCUUCCGCAAUGGGCGAAAGCCUGACGGAGCAACGCCGCGUGAGUGAUGAAGGUCUUCGGAUCGUAAAGCUCUGUUGUUAGGGAAGAACAAAUGUGUAAGUAACUGUGCACAUCUGACGGUAC